UAAAAUUAUAUCAACGACCAUCCUUGAAACUUUCUUAAGUACAAUUGCAAAGUAUUGAGUUAUUGUUACUCCAAACCUUUACAUUGGUGCCCAAGAUUUACAAAAAAAAAAAAAAAAUCCCAACAUUUCAUGAGAAAAUAUGUGUCUUAAAGUUUGCAAAUUGUAUCUUAUUUCUAAAACUCUCAACAAGCUUGUGAAUACAAUUUUUGACAUUUUAAAAUUAAUCAUACAACGUGAUUCAUGAUUGUCAAGGGAUUCAUGAUCGUCAAGGGAUUCAUGAUCAUCAAGGAUUUAUGUUUCACCUGAUUGUUUUGAAUCCAUGCAUGAUUACUUCAAUAUAUACUUCUCAUAAUAUAAUUGCACAGAAGAAGAUGCAACAUGAAAUAACUAGUUAAAACUUUCCAUGUGUUGUAAAAUAUUUCUUUUCUCUUUUAUCAUUACUUCUAUCACCACUGGAAUUGUUAACCAUACUCAUCACCUGUGAACAAAUUCUAUAUAUAAAAACCAAACAUAAAACCCCAGACCCUAAAUCAAGAUAUUGGUAGAAUGGGAUAUCCUUCAAUUGGAAUAUAAGUGGAAUGGGAUAUCUCGAAUUGGGAUAUCUUUUGAAUGGGAUAUCCCUUAUCGGAAUAAGUAUGACAUAUAGCUCGGUUCAAUAACGUAAAAAAUUUGAACCAGAUACUAAAACAAUUGACCAGACUGUAGAAAUUUUCAAUCAGGAAUAACAUAGUCAGGAUAUCCGCAGAAUAGUUUAUCCUGAGAAGGAAUAUGACUAGGAUAUCCUUGGAGUAGAAUAAGAAGAAAAAUUAACUAUAGCAGGACAGUUAAAAAUUUUGCACCGAAUAUAAGAUAAGCCCAAUAACCCAGUAAUCCAAAACAUAAACAAGACAAAUCACCUAACAUUGAAUCGAAAGCCCAAUAACCCAUAGCCCCAACAAUAUUCUGCUAAGCAUGAAAUAAAACGAAAGAUCCGUAAAGAGAAACAGAAAAAUAAAACAAAGGGAAACAAAGAAUUCAAAAAUAAAAAACAUCCACCGAAAAUUGAUGUAUAAAGACAAAGACAAAGGAUUUAUAUUGCU
Molecule: long non-coding RNA, 1079 nt
Filed under: Gossypium barbadense (sea-island cotton)
Lineage: Eukaryota; Viridiplantae; Streptophyta; Magnoliopsida; Malvales; Malvaceae
Description: long non-coding RNA (GBAR_LNC010465)
Source: RNAcentral